Long non-coding RNA from Polistes dominula (European paper wasp), 1157 nucleotides. The record is from RefSeq and is a predicted model, not a curated record. Lineage: Eukaryota; Metazoa; Arthropoda; Insecta; Hymenoptera; Vespidae.
UUUUUUUGUUUCAUACGAGUGCCUACGACCUUGCAUAUCGAAAUUUUGGCAUAAACAACGUGCGUGACAUUGCCUCAGAUUUUCUUUAAUAGUAUUUAUAGUCAUUGCAUUCUUAUUUGUUUCCUUUGAGGUACGAAACAAACCGAAUGGAUACCAAAUGCAAUUAUGUUUUUUCAAACGAUCGAUCAUAAGUGAUUACAUUUUUUUUGUUCAUUCAACAACACAACAACAAAAAAUGUAUCUUCAUGAUAUGUACGUGUAUGAAAUGUACAAGAGUUGUAAAGAAGUACAAAUCUGUCUGUCUCUCUUUCUCUCUCUCUCUCUCACUCUUGGUGGCAUGUGAAAUAGACAAUCUAUAAAUGGAAAACGAAGGAUAAACUUGUACUCAUAUAUGUAUAUGUGCAUGUACAGAUACGUAAAUAAUAGGUAUAUAGCAUCGGACUGAGACGAUAAUCGCAAGAGUCGCGUUCGUUCGUAAUACAAUGCUGUUCGUUCGUUUCGUAUCGCUAAAAAGGCUGUUACCAAGAUAAAAGUGAAAAACUAAACUUGUAUCGAAUGAGAAGAUUUAAAUUGAAGACGAAGUGAAAAUAAUUUUCUUCCGACGAACACGGACAGCUUCCAAACGUAUGAUAAUAUGAGAAAUCUCGAAUGCAACUUUCACCGGAUUACUGGCACGCAAAGUCGAACGACAUCGUUCAACGUGUAACACCUUUAAAAUACUUAAACAUAAGCCAAGAACAACAAAUCGUCCAAGUUAGAUCCAACAAAUACUAAGUUACAGCUAAUGUUAGAUUGGUCGAGAAGAGAAUGUACUCAGCCAUUGGCUACUUUGGCAAAGUGUUUCACGAUCGUCAACCUAAAACUGUGAACCAUACGACGACGAUAUUUACACACCUACUAUACAUGGUACGCGGCGCACAUGUACAUGCAUGUGAGAUGCAUUGGGAUGCAUCAUUGAACGUUGUAACAUGUACACAAGCACGUACAUAUGCGAUAUAACUGUCACCGAAUGAAAUUACGUAUGUUUUUUUCUUUUUCUUUUUCUUUUCUUUUCUUUUCUUCAAGAGAAACAGUUCAACUUCUUUCAAAAAUACUUACUUAACAUACAUAAUAUGUAUUUAUGCAUAAUCAAAAAAAAAAAAAAAAAAACUAAUUAA